This 465-nucleotide ribosomal RNA is filed under the name uncultured bacterium. RNAcentral's name for it is "partial 16S ribosomal RNA". It matches the Rfam family "Bacterial small subunit ribosomal RNA", at positions 339 to 795 of the family's 1533-position model. The record is from RNAcentral.
CUACGGGAGGCUGCAGUGGGGAAUAUUGGACAAUGGGGGAAACCCUGAUCCAGCAAUGCCGCGUGUGUGAAGAAGGCCUGCGGGUUGUAAAGCACUUUCGGUUGGGAGGACUGCUUCUAGCACUAAUAUUGUUGGAAGUUGACGUUACCUUCAGAAGAAGCACCGGCUAACUCCGUGCCAGCAGCCGCGGUAAUACGGAGGGUGCAAGCGUUAAUCGGAAUUACUGGGCGUAAAGCGCGCGUAGGCGGCUAGAUCAGUCGGGUGUGAAAGCCCCGGGCUUAACCUGGGAACUGCAUCCGAUACUGCCUAGCUUGAGUACAGGAGAGGAGAGUGGAAUUCCACAUGUAGCGGUGAAAUGCGUAGAUAUGUGGAGGAACACCAAUGGCGAAGGCAGCUCUCUGGCCUGAUACUGACGCUGAGGUGCGAAAGCGUGGGGGGCAAACAGGAUUAGAUACCCCAGUAGUC